Molecule: ribosomal RNA, 403 nt
Filed under: bacterium
Lineage: Bacteria
Description: partial 16S ribosomal RNA
Rfam family: Bacterial small subunit ribosomal RNA
Source: RNAcentral
UGGGGAAUAUUGCACAAUGGGGGAAACCUUGAUGCAGCGCCGCCGCGUGAACGAAGAGGUUAUUCGUAUCGAAAAGUUUUUUCCUUGGGGAAAUUAAUGACAGUACCAUAGAAGAAAGCUCCGCCUAAUUACGUGCCAGCACCGGCGGAAAUACGUAUGGAGCGAGCGUUGUCCGGAAUUAUUGGGCGUAAAGGGUACGCAGGCGGUUUAAUAAGUCGAAUGUUAAAGAUCGGGGCUCAACCCCGUAAAGCAUUGGAAACUGAUAAACUUGAGUAGUGGAGAGGAAAGUGGAAUUCCUAGUGUAGUGGUGAAAUACGUAGAUAUUAGGAGGAAUACCAGUAGCGAAGGCGACUUUCUGGACACAAACUGACGCUGAGGUACGAAAGCGUGGGGAGCAAACAGG